GAUGAACGCUGGCGGCGUGCCUAAUACAUGCAAGUCGAGCGAACGGACGAGAAGCUUGCUUCUCUGAUGUUAGCGGCGGACGGGUGAGUAACACGUGGAUAACCUACCUAUAAGACUGGGAUAACUUCGGGAAACCGGAGCUAAUACCGGAUGAUAUUUUGAACCGCAUGGUUCAAAAGUGAAAGACGGUCUUGCUGUCACUUAUAGAUGGAUCCGCGCUGCAUUAGCUAGUUGGUAAGGUAACGGAUUACCAAGGCAACGAUGCAUAGCCGACCUGAGAGGGUGAUCGGCCACUCUGGAACUGAGACACGGUCCAGACUCCUACGGGAGGCAGCAGUAGGGAAUCUUCCGCAAUGGGCGAAAGCCUGACGGAGCAACGCCGCGUGAGUGAUGAAGGUCUUCGGAUCGUAAAACUCUGUUAUUAGGGAAGAACAUAUGUGUAAGUAACUGUGCACAUCUUGACGGUACCUAUCAGAAAGCCACGGCUAACUACGUG
This 496-nucleotide ribosomal RNA is filed under the name uncultured bacterium. Its description in RNAcentral is "partial 16S ribosomal RNA". It matches the Rfam family "Bacterial small subunit ribosomal RNA", at positions 28 to 507 of the family's 1533-position model. The record is from RNAcentral.